Molecule: ribosomal RNA, 437 nt
Filed under: uncultured bacterium
Lineage: Bacteria
Description: bacterial SSU rRNA
Rfam family: Bacterial small subunit ribosomal RNA
Source: RNAcentral
CAGAACGAACGCUGGCGGCAUGCCUAACACAUGCAAGUCGAACGAGACCUUCGGGUCUAGUGGCGCACGGGUGCGUAACACGUGGGAAUUUGCCUCGGGGUAUGGAAUAACUCAGGGAAACUUGAGCUAAUACCAUAUAAUGUCUUCGGACCAAAGAUUUAUCGCCCUGAGAUAAGCCCGCGUAGGAUUAGCUAGUUGGUGGGGUAAAGGCUCACCAAGGCGACGAUCCUUAGCUGGUCUGAGAGGAUGAUCAGCCACACUGGGACUGAGACACGGCCCAGACUCCUACGGGAGGCAGCAGUGGGGGAAUAUUGGACAAUGGGCGAAAGCCUGAUCCAGCAAUGCCGCGUGAGUGAUGAAGGCCUUCGGGUUGUAAAGCUCUUUUACUCGGGACGAUAAUGACGGUACCGAGAGAAUAAGCCCCGGCUAACUCCGUG